Molecule: long non-coding RNA, 1066 nt
Organism: Lemur catta (Ring-tailed lemur)
Lineage: Eukaryota; Metazoa; Chordata; Mammalia; Primates; Lemuridae
Exons: 3
Source: RefSeq, a predicted model, not a curated record
UCGUCAUGACGGAUGGGCCUGGAACUAGGUAGAGGGUCUGCGUUCAGCGGUGGUAGCGGCGAAGGCGGGGAAACCCCACUCCCGCUUGACACUUCCCGAUCCGGGCCGCGACGACGGGCAGGAGCCGUAGUACGCAGGCGCAGGGGCCCAGAGGCGAGCGCCGAACGCUAUCAGGGGUGGCUAGCCGAUUGGCGAGCUAGGGAGCCUGCGCGCUUCCGUAGGGUAAGAAGAGCGCUAUCCUGGAGGCUUCCUACGUGGCCAUGGUAACCAAGGCUUCUCUGCGUGCCCCUGCGGAGUUAGAGCUGGGGCGCAACCUGACAGGUUUGAGUCUAUGUGUUUGGAAAGUCCUCUAGCAAGCGCUGAACGUUUUGCAGGUACUUGAUAAAUAUUUAUUGCAUAAAUAAUUGAAUAUGACCCUGUGGAACUGGAAUGUAGAGUUCAAGAAGGAGAACAGCAGAAGACAAUGGUGAAAGGCAACUGCCAUGUUGUGGGCUGUCCUAUGGAGAAGAACAGGACUAUGUGGCAAGAACUGAGGGAGGCUUCUGGGACACAAUUAGUAAAGAACUGAGGCCCUUAGUCCAAUAUCCUGCUAACAUCGAGUGAGUGAUUCUGGAAAUGGAUCCUCCACCAUCAACACUUCAGAUAUGACUGCAGCUCCAGCCAACAUCCUGACUGCAACAUAAGGGACCUUGAGCCAGAGGCACCCAGCUAAACUGUACCCAGAUUGCUGGUACAUAAACAGAAACUGUGUGAUAAAUGUUUGUUUGAAGCCAUUAAGUUUUGGGGUACUUUGUUUUAUAGCAAUAAAUAAUAUACUUACUCACAUAAUUUUAAAAUAAUAUAUAAUGCCCUAACUGUAAUAUAAAGGUAAAAUAAAGACAAUAACCUAUGUUGUAAUAUGUACAUGUUUAAGCACGAUUACACUAGGGGCUAUAAUGAAGAUUUCUGAUGCUUGUACCUGUAUGUGUAGAUGCACCUUGAAUGCAGGAGCUAGGAAUGUAGACUGACUGGGGUGAGUUGAUGACAUUAUUUCCUGAAAUAGUCCAAAGCUCUUAAUGAGUUACAA